GCGGGGCGGGCGCGCAGGGGCGGGAGCGGCGGGGGCGCGCGCCGACGCGGGGCCAGCCCUGCUUCGCCCGGGUCGCGGGCGGACGCGCGCCGCAGUCGGAGCCUCAGACGCGCGGCGCAGGGGACACCGCGGGGCCGCCGGAGGCCACAGCUCCGUCGGGAACGGACAACGUCCGCGCUCCGGGGAGCCGGGCGGCCGCGCCGGGGCUGAGCGGUGGGCGCGGCGGAAGAACGAAUCCUUGUGGUGUUCUUCCUUAGCGCCCACUGCCCCUGUUUGCUGAAGACUUUGGCCAAAGCUGCUCUCAGCUGUUGGCAUCAUCCUGAGGAAAGGACAGCUUUCACACAUCAGGGAAACUUUCAGGAGACUGUGGGCCCCAGUGGAUCUUCUGAAGGUGAGAGUUAAUCAGUCCUCUCUUUGUCUUUAGAAAUCUAAAUUAGCUGUUCUGUCUUCCAAAAUCUACUUCUUGGAAAAGAGUGAAUAAGAGACCAGGUUAUUGAAAACUCUCUGUCUAGAAUUGAGAGUUUUUCUUUUUCAGGAGACUUUUUCAGUAGUUACGAAGGAAAUCACUUGGUUAUUUUGACAGAACAGGAAUUUAUUUGAUGUUGUGGCUCUGAUCUAAGAAGACUUAUUUGAACACACACACACACACACACACACACGCACACCUUGAGAAAUCAAUAACAUUUCUCUUCUCAAAAGACUUUCUUACGUAUUUAGUGUCUCUCAGAGCCUUCAUAAUAGCCUUACCUUGCCUUUUAGGAAUGUUUUAAGGACAAAACAAAACAACUUCAGUGAAAGCACUUUGUAAACCAUGAAGAUUUAUUUGCAUAAGUAAGAAAGACAAUGACUAUGUGGAAUCCUCCAAAAUACCCUUAUAUCCUCCAAUCUGUUUUUCUUUAUAUGGUUUGAUUCAUUUUUAAUAUGGUUCUGUAAACUUUGCAAGGAUCUCAAGGAGCAGAGGUGGUGAGUCCUUACCUCCAAGGAAUAUCUGUCAUGUGCAAGAGACAGACACAUGAAUAGAUAACCAAUUCCAAUAUGAUGAAAGUAUACUGAGACUGCAUUAAGGAGUGCAACAGAAGCUGAGGCAGCCUGGGGCCAGAGACUGUGUGUGUAAAAAGCAGGCUGCUUACAGGAGGUAACCCCUGAAGUGGCCCUUGAAAGAUGAAUAGGAGUUGGCCUAGUGGAGUGGCCUAGGGUCUUGUAGACAGGAGCAGCGGGAUGCGGGUGUGAAAUCUGCAUGCGGAAUAAUAAGUUGUUAGGGUUAUUGAACCACAGGGUAU
This 1280-nucleotide long non-coding RNA is filed under the name Felis catus (domestic cat). RNAcentral's name for it is "lncRNA (ENSFCAG00000051886.1)". The record is from RNAcentral. Lineage: Eukaryota; Metazoa; Chordata; Mammalia; Carnivora; Felidae.